GCGGACGGUGAGUACGCGNGGUAACCUGCCCAUACAGGGGGAUAACACUUAGAAAUAGGUGCUAAUACCGCAUAACAACAGAAAGCGCAUGCUUUUUGUUUGAAAACCAAGGUGGUAUGGGAUGGACCCGCGUCUGAUUAGCUGGUUGGCGGGGUAAAGGCCCACCAAGGCGACGAUCAGUAGCCGGCCUGAGAGGGUGGACGGCCACAUUGGGACUGAGACACGGCCCAAACUCCUACGGGAGGCAGCAG
RNAcentral lists this ribosomal RNA (251 nucleotides) under uncultured bacterium. RNAcentral describes it as "partial 16S ribosomal RNA". It matches the Rfam family "Bacterial small subunit ribosomal RNA", at positions 98 to 354 of the family's 1533-position model. The record is from RNAcentral.